Molecule: transfer-messenger RNA, 350 nt
Filed under: Litoreibacter sp.
Lineage: Bacteria; Pseudomonadati; Pseudomonadota; Alphaproteobacteria; Rhodobacterales; Roseobacteraceae
Rfam family: Alphaproteobacteria transfer-messenger RNA
About the family: Bacterial tmRNA, also known as 10Sa RNA or SsrA, is named for its dual tRNA and mRNA-like properties. Its role is to liberate the mRNA from a stalled ribosome.
Source: RNAcentral
CCCUUUGCAAAACGCUCUGCGACAACCUAUAUCUGGGGAGCCCCUCGGGGCUAUGGACAUAAACGCGCUCGUAAUAAGCGGAUCGGACCCGGGGGCGGUACCCGGCGACUCCACCACAACCCUCUCGUUUGGAGGUCAUGGGGUCGAAAUAGGAUCGACGAACGUCUAAAGGGGUAAGCUUUGUCUCGGUGAGAUACCACCGUUAUCGGUUCAUUUAAGCUAGUUGCAAACGACAACAAAGCUCCAGUUGCUCUGGCUGCGUAAGCGGUCCGAAAAACUGAAAUCUUAAGCCCUAUCGCCUUGCAGCGAUAGGCGGGGUUCGCAGGUACCUGGCAACAGAAACCUGCAUU